RNAcentral lists this long non-coding RNA (3674 nucleotides) under Homo sapiens (human). Its description in RNAcentral is "HSALNT0227815". Lineage: Eukaryota; Metazoa; Chordata; Mammalia; Primates; Hominidae. The record is from RNAcentral.
AGCAGCUGGGGCUGGUCUGAGCUGGUCUACACCAUGCUCAGCAGGUUGGAGUGUGUCAGACCUGGUUUUCAACCACCAGAACUACUUAUAUGUUCAACUUGAGAGCAUGUCUGGCAAGCUCUGAGAAGACGAGCUGGUUUCUCUGCCUGCCUUGUUAGGGCGUUUCCCAGGGCCAGGUGCCCACUCAUUUUCCUCUUACUCUGUGCCCCUAGGCGGCAGUGGUCUUGUACAAUCUCUCUCUGUAUUCUCAAGUCCCCAUCUGCGAGCAUGGCUACUGGAAAUAACUGCAGCUGUAUACUGACUUAAAGAUCCAAAAAUCCCAGGAAGGACCCCAGAGCUGUGAGCCAGAAGCCCAAGGCCCUCCCAGCCUGAAAGCCCCAGGCCAAGCCUGAACUAUAUGCAGUCAUCCCCAUGAGAAUAUAAACUCCAUGAGGGCAGCAACUUGGCUGGCCUGUGUGCCAGUGCUGGGGACAUCACUGAGAAAUGAAGGCCCAUUUGGCAGGCUAUUUUUGAGCAAGAUUCCUGAGGCCCAAUCGUUGGGUGAUGAGAUGGACCCGAGGUAUUUCACUCCAGCUCUCGAGCCAAAAGAACUGACCACGUCCUCACCACUGCUCUGCGCCAGAUUUCAUCCAAGCAAAGAGAGGAUCACAUGGAGAUGAAAACACCCCACUUCCUUCAUCUGGAUGACACCUUGUUUAGAAGCCCAUCACUCGGCCAGAGAAGAAAUAUUUAGAUUGAGAAACAGCUUUUUGUUGUGCCCUAAGCCCAUUCUACCUUUAUGAUUCAACUAAAAAUUUAUUUCCACUUAAAUAAAACCAGCAAUUCUGAGCUUCCCCUCCCGUCACAGGUUUCCUCCCAGAAAGUCUAUCAUGAAAAUACUGCUCAAAAAUCAUCUGUAAAAAGGUAUACAUUACACAUAGAAGCACGUAUGUAUGCACCGGUGGAAGUAUAUAUCCUCAUAUUUGGUGUUUGGUUUUUUUUUUUUUUUUGUAGAUUGAGACUGUGUCUCCCAGACUGGAAUGUAAUGACACAAUGUCAGCUCACUCCAACCUCCACCUCCCGGGUUUAAGUGAUUCUCCUGCCUCAGCCUCCCAAGUAGGUGGGAGUACAGGCGUGCACCACCAUGCCUGGCUAAUUUUUGGAUUUUUAGUAGAGAUGGGUUUUCCUCUUGUUGGCUAGGCUGGUCUCACACUCGACCUCAGGUGACCCAACCACCUUGGCCUCCCACAGUACUGGGAUUACAGGUAUAAGCCUCUGUGUCUGGCCCAUAUUUGCUAUUUCUAAAAUUAGAAAGGUAUUGUGUGGUACUCUUCCAUGCUUUAUCCUCUUAGUAAUAAUGUCAUGGAGAUUUUUUCCAUAUCACUACAUGCGGUAUGGAAGGUAUUCCCUUUACAUGUGAGUGUACAUCAGCCUCAGUAUUCUAGCCCAUAGGUUGGCAAACUUCCUAUAAAGGGUGAGACUAAACAUACUAGGCUCCAGGGAGGCAUUCCAUCUCAGUUACAACUCAACUUUGCCCUUAUAAUAAGAAGCUAUACAUGAAGUGUGAAUGACUGGGCAUGUUCCAAUAAAACUUUACUUAUAAAAAACAGGUGGAGGGUAAGAUUUGGCCUGUGGGCCAUCAUUUUCUGAUCUCUGUUCUAGUCUGAACCAUCUUUGGCUGUUUCACCACAGUCAUGCGGCCAAGGAGGCAAGGCCUGGCCACACAGGGCACAGAAGCCAUGAUGGGCCUUGUCUGCAAGUAGAAAUCACCUGCUAAUCACCAACAGGUCUCAAAGUAAAUGCUGGAACACACUUUGUAGGGUGACUCUCCUGGCCCCAAGCAGCAUCUGCGACAUCAAGAUGCCGGGCCUUGGGACUGCCUCAAGCUGGUUUCGGCAGCUAUGCUCUUUACAGAGCGUGUGGAGGGCAAGGACUCUGGAGUAGAAAAAGGUGCAGGUCUUAGGGCUGGGGUCCCAGGGUGGAAGCCCACUCCAUGCCUUACUGGCUAUUUGAGAUAGAGGAUGAAAAAUGGCAUGAACAUCUUUGUAUGUGUGAGGAUCUUCCUGUUGCCCACGCUGGAGUUCAAUGGUGCAAUCUUAGGUCACUGCAACCUCCACCUCCCAGGUUCAAGAGAUUCUCCUGCCUCAGCCUUCUGAGUAGCUGGGACUACAGGUGCACACCACCACCCAUGGCUAAUUUUUGUAUUUUUGGUAGACAUGGGGUUUUGUCAUAUUGACCAGGCUGGUUUCCAACUUCUGACCCUGAGUGAUCUACCACCUCAGCCUCCCAAAGUGCUGGGAUUACAGGGAUGAGCCACCAUGGCUGGCAGACACAAGCAUCGUGAGGGGUGCCUAGCCCCUGCAGACACUCCAUGAACAGCAAAUGUGAUAACUGCUAAAUCAAAACUACCCCAGAAUUUUCCAUCUGCUAUGUCCCCAAGAAAUGACACUGUAACAGGGAGCCGAACACUAUGAUGCCUGCCCAGCUGCAAGAGUGGACUCACCUAAGAUACUCCACAAGCUUUUUAUGCUGUUACAACGGACCCAAAGCACGGGAGAGCAGGGGCCUCACUUGUGCUGUUGCUUGAGAGUUCCCUAAAUGCCAGGCCAUAGCAGGUACUGAAGAAUACCUACAGCCCGAGUGAGUGCUGCUAUGUGUAGGGUUCAGGCCAAGGGCCCUGGCUGCAGAGCAGAGGAACUGAGAGCUAGACAGGGCUGGGCCUGCCAUAGGAAAACAACAGCCCAGCUAUGACCCAGCACUGUGGUGGCUGGGGGAUGAGAGAUGAGCUCAGCACAGAAAACACCUUGGAGCCCUGGAUGUACCCCUCCUACACCAGUACAAUGCCCUGCAGUGCUCUGGGCUUUAAACUUCACUUCUUGCUGAGUUGACACCAAAUGAGGCCCCUGAAGAGCCUCUUCUGCUGUGGGGCUUGGACAGAGUACCCGGGCCUGGAGUGGGACUUACAGGGAAGCCAGCAUCAUAGAAAAUCCCUAGAGGGAAUUCCCAGAAGGCUGCACCCUCAAAGCAUCUGGUCCAGACAAGACAACCCUGACUAGUCAUCCUGAAAGCCCGGUGCUGUCCAAAAGACACAGAUGCCAUGGUACAGGGAUGUGGCACAGUGGGGAGCCAGAGGGGCCAACUCUUCAAGGCUGCAGGACCUUUGCACCUGCUGUGUCCACUGCCUGGCUCCCUGCCUCAGGUCUCCACUUCGGGUCAAACUAUCCCUGUCAUCUUCCUAGACCAUAAACAGCACAUCCCCAGCAGGCUUCUUUCCCUCUGUGAUGACUGUGAUGUCAUUUCCUGUCUUUUCACUGGAAAUCGCCACCUCACAUAGGCAUGUCUGCCUCACUAUUCAAUGUCUGUGUCCCCCAUGAAAACAGAUGCUUUAUCUGCUGUUGAACUAUCAGGAUCUGAAAUGGUGCACUGGCUUCCAGCUGCACUCCUAGCCCUGGAAAAACCAAACCAGCCUGAUCUUACUGGUGACUGUAUAAUCUUAAUCCCUUUAUUUUCAUAUAUUUUGAAAGCAAUCCUAAUUGUCUGUAUUUAAAAUUUCCUUUGUUGCAUGGAAGGUAGCUGUUUAAAUGUCUAAUUUUCUCCUAUCUUCUUAGUUUUCUAGUCAAAAUAAUAGCUUUAAUCACAGUGGGUCUAGAUGGAUUCAAAAAGGAAGAUUUAUCCACUCUUCUUGGUAAUUGUUU